RNAcentral lists this non-coding RNA (21 nucleotides) under Caenorhabditis elegans. The record is from RNAcentral. Lineage: Eukaryota; Metazoa; Nematoda; Chromadorea; Rhabditida; Rhabditidae.
UAAAAUGUUGCCAGAGAGCUG